RNAcentral lists this small RNA (316 nucleotides) under Homo sapiens (human). RNAcentral's name for it is "Metazoan signal recognition particle RNA (ENSG00000275319.1)". The stretch from base 1 to 118 matches the Rfam family "Metazoan signal recognition particle RNA". The record is from RNAcentral. Lineage: Eukaryota; Metazoa; Chordata; Mammalia; Primates; Hominidae.
GCCAGGUGUGGUGGCUCACGCCUGUAAUCCCAGUAACUUUGGGAGGCUGAGGCAGGUGGAUCAUUCGAGGUCAGGAGUUCGAGACCAGCCUGACCAACAUAAUGAAACCCUAUCUCUACUGAAAAUACAAGGAUUAGCCAGACGUGGUGGUGGGCGUCUGUAGUCCAGCUACUUGAGAGGCUGAGGCAGGAGAAUCACUUGAACCACCACGCCCAACCUAAUUUUUUUGUUGUUGUUGUUGUUAGUAGAGGCAGGGUUUCACCAUGUUGGCCAGGCUCAUCUUGAACUCCUGACCUCAAGUGAUCCACCUGCCUCA